AGGAAAUAGAUACCCGGGUAGUCCACGCCGUAAACGAUGAAUGCUAGUUGUAAUCAGUAUCGACCCUGGUUGUAAACGAAAGCUAAACGCGUUAAGCAUUCCGCCUGUGGAGUACGAGCGCAAGCUUAAAACAUAAAGGAAUUGACGGGGACCCGCACAAGCGGUGGAGCGUGUUGUUUAAAUUCGACGAUAAACGAAGAACCUUACCAAGGUUUGACAUCCUACUAAUCCCAGCGAAAGCCGGGAGUGCCUUCGGGCCGUAGAGACAGGUGUUGCAUGGCCGUCGUCAGCUCGUGUCGUGAGAUGUUUGGUUAAGUCCAUCAACGAGCGCAACCCUUAUGUUAGUUGGAUUUUUCUAGCCAGACUGCCCCGGUAACGGGGAGGAAGGAGGGGGUGAUGUCAGGUCAGUAUUACCCUUACACCUUGGGCUACAAACACGCUACAAUGGCCGGUACAAAGGGCGAGCUAAGUCGCGAGACGGAGCAAACCCCGAUCAAAGCCGGUCUCAGUUCGGAUUGUAGGCUGAAACUCGCCUGCAUGAAGCUGGAAUCGCUAGUAACGGUAGGUCA
This 569-nucleotide ribosomal RNA is filed under the name uncultured bacterium. Its description in RNAcentral is "bacterial SSU rRNA". It matches the Rfam family "Bacterial small subunit ribosomal RNA", at positions 774 to 1351 of the family's 1533-position model. The record is from RNAcentral.